AGCGGCGGACGGGUGAGUAACGCGUGGGAAUAUGCCCUUCUCUAAGGAAUAGCCUCGGGAAACUGAGAGUAAUACCUUAUACGCCCUUCGGGGGAAAGAUUUAUCGGAGAAGGAUUAGCCCGCGUUAGAUUAGGUAGUUGGUGGGGUAAUGGCCUACCAAGCCUACGAUCUAUAGCUGGUUUGGGAGGAUGAUCAGCCACACUGGGACUGAGACACGGCCCAGACUCCUACGGGAGGCAGCAGUAGGGAAUCUUAGACAAUGGGGGUAACCCUGAUCUAGCCAUGCCGCGUGUGUGAUGAAGGCCUCAGGGUCGUAAAGCACUUUCGCCAGAGAUGAUAAUGACAGUAUCUGGUAAAGAAACCCCGGCUAACUCCGUGCCAGCAGCCGCGGUAAUACGGAGGGGGUUAGCGUUGUUCGGAAUUACUGGGCGUAAAGCGCACGUAGGCGGAUUAGUAAGUUAGAGGUGAAAUCCCAGGGCUCAACCCUGGAACUGCCUCUAAUACUGCUAGUCUUGAGUUCGAGAGAGGUAAGUGGAAUUCCGAGUGUAGAGGUGAAAUUCGUAGAUAUUCGGAGGAACACCAGUGGCGAAGGCGGCUUACUGGCUCGAUACUGACGCUGAGGUGCGAAAGUGUGGGGAGCAAACAGGAUUAGAUACCCUGGUAGUCCACACCGA
Molecule: ribosomal RNA, 674 nt
Filed under: uncultured bacterium
Lineage: Bacteria
Description: bacterial SSU rRNA
Rfam family: Bacterial small subunit ribosomal RNA
Source: RNAcentral